RNAcentral lists this ribosomal RNA (522 nucleotides) under uncultured Janthinobacterium sp. RNAcentral describes it as "bacterial SSU rRNA". It matches the Rfam family "Bacterial small subunit ribosomal RNA", at positions 353 to 868 of the family's 1533-position model. The record is from RNAcentral. Lineage: Bacteria; Pseudomonadati; Pseudomonadota; Betaproteobacteria; Burkholderiales; Oxalobacteraceae.
AGUGGGGAAUUUUGGACAAUGGGCGCAAGCCUGAUCCAGCAAUGCCGCGUGAGUGAAGAAGGCCUUCGGGUUGUAAAGCUCUUUUGUCAGGGAAGAAACGGUGAGGGCUAAUAUCCCUUGCUAAUGACGGUACCUGAAGAAUAAGCACCGGCUAACUACGUGCCAGCAGCCGCGGUAAUACGUAGGGUGCAAGCGUUAAUCGGAAUUACUGGGCGUAAAGCGUGCGCAGGCGGUUUUGUAAGUUUGUCGUGAAAGCCCCGGGCUCAACCUGGGAAUUGCGAUGAAGACUGCAAGGCUUGAAUCUGGCAGAGGGGGGUAGAAUUCCACGUGUAGCAGUGAAAUGCGUAGAGAUGUGGAGGAACACCGAUGGCGAAGGCAGCCCCCUGGGUCAAGAUUGACGCUCAUGCACGAAAGCGUGGGGAGCAAACAGGAUUAGAUACCCUGGUAGUCCACGCCCUAAACGAUGUCUACUAGUUGUCGGGUUUUAAUUAACUUGGUAACGCAGCUAACGCGUGAAGUAGA